GCCCUGGUGGCGGAAUAGGUAGACGCAAGGGACUUAAAAUCCCUCGAUCGUAUAGGUCGUGCUGGUUCAAUUCCAGUUCAGGGCA
RNAcentral lists this transfer RNA (85 nucleotides) under Mycoplasma mobile 163K. It matches the Rfam family "tRNA". Rfam says of the family: Transfer RNA (tRNA) molecules are approximately 80 nucleotides in length. Their secondary structure includes four short double-helical elements and three loops (D, anti-codon, and T loops). The record is from Rfam by way of RNAcentral. Lineage: Bacteria; Bacillati; Mycoplasmatota; Mycoplasmoidales; Metamycoplasmataceae.